This 375-nucleotide ribosomal RNA is filed under the name uncultured bacterium. RNAcentral describes it as "bacterial SSU rRNA". It matches the Rfam family "Bacterial small subunit ribosomal RNA", at positions 521 to 896 of the family's 1533-position model. The record is from RNAcentral.
UAAUACAUACUGUGCGAACGUUAUUCGGAUUCACUGGGCUUAAAGGGUGCGUAGGCGGCUUGUUAAGUAGGGUGUGAAAGCCCCCAGCUCAACUGGGGAACUGCACUCUAUACUGGCGAGCUGGAGUGAGAUAGGGGUGUGUGGAACUGCCAGUGGAGCGGUGAAAUGUGUUGAUAUUGGCAGGAACGCCGGUGGCGAAAGCGACACACUGGGUCUCAACUGACGCUGAGGCACGAAAGCCAGGGGAGCGAACGGGAUUAGAUACCCCGGUAGUCCUGGCCGUAAACGCUGAGUACUCGUUUGGAGCGACUGCGGUCGCUCCAAACUUAGAGAAAUCGUUAAGUACUCCGCCUGGGGAGUAUGGUCGCAAGGCUG